Molecule: long non-coding RNA, 501 nt
Organism: Cyprinus carpio (common carp)
Lineage: Eukaryota; Metazoa; Chordata; Actinopteri; Cypriniformes; Cyprinidae
Exons: 3
Source: RefSeq, a predicted model, not a curated record
GCGCGGCGGCUUCACUUUCAUGACGUCAUGAGCAAUCCAGUUCUAUAUUAUAGAUCAGUGGUUUAUACAUGUAAAUUCUGCGUGACUGUGACGUGUUUAAAUGGGCGUGUGUGCUGAACAUUCGAGUCUCAUUCAAACACUGGAGCGGAGGGAGUUGCCACAGAAACGGAGCGCCAACACAACAACUGACAAGCCGGGAAUCACUGACUUUUGCUGCUGUUUUCAAUAGCUUUCGGAGAGAAAAAAAAACCUCAGCAACAGGGGAAGCUCCAAGAUUUCACAAUUUCUGAAGGCAGAAGAACUGGGAAAGCUUCUUAAAUUUUUAAGAGGGCUUUGACAUCCAUAAAUUCUUCAGUGCUAAUGGCCUCCUGCAUCCCAGAGUCCUGUCAGACAACAUCUACAAAGAACAGUGAACCAUAUAGCCAAUAACUUAACCUCAAAUAUACACUAUUGUUCAAAAUUCAGUAAGAUAUUUUAUGUUUUUGAAAAGACAUCUCAUGC